This 253-nucleotide ribosomal RNA is filed under the name uncultured bacterium. Its description in RNAcentral is "partial 16S ribosomal RNA". It matches the Rfam family "Bacterial small subunit ribosomal RNA", at positions 524 to 776 of the family's 1533-position model. The record is from RNAcentral.
UACGUAGGGUGCAGGCGUUAAUCGGAAUUACUGGGCGUAAAGCGUGCGCAGGCGGUCUUUUAAGUCAGAUGUGAAAUCCCUGGGCUCAACCCAGGAACUGCGUCCGAUACUGGUUGGCUUGAAUCCGGGAGAGGGAUGUGGAAUUCCAGGUGUAGCGGUGAAAUGCGUAGAUAUCUGGAGGAACACCGGUGGCGAAGGCGACAUCCUGGACCGGCAUUGACGCUGAGGCGCGAAAGCCAGGGGAGCAAACGGG